UGGACGGCACUCCAGUACAAGCAUGUGCAUGGUUGGCCUGUUGACAUUUUUAGAAACGCAUCUUGGUCUAUUAUACAGAGUAUUGUUGUACUGCUCCAAAGUGCUUGUUGACAGACUGAAACCACUUGCUUGCGGCUCAUAAGGUUCACUUCUUGAGAGCAGGCAGCUACAAAAUGGAAGGUCAACAAAUCCAGUAUACUUGAAAAGCAAGAAAGAAACACCAGAAAAUAUAAAAAGACAGAAGAACAAGGGAACUUAAAAAAAAAAAAAACUUUUAAGGAUAGGAAAUCAGGAUUUA
Molecule: long non-coding RNA, 298 nt
Organism: Mercenaria mercenaria
Lineage: Eukaryota; Metazoa; Mollusca; Bivalvia; Venerida; Veneridae
Exons: 3
Source: RefSeq, a predicted model, not a curated record